RNAcentral lists this ribosomal RNA (251 nucleotides) under uncultured bacterium. RNAcentral describes it as "partial 16S ribosomal RNA". It matches the Rfam family "Bacterial small subunit ribosomal RNA", at positions 525 to 775 of the family's 1533-position model. The record is from RNAcentral.
ACGUAUGGUGCAAGCGUUAUCCGGAUUUACUGGGUGUAAAGGGAGCGUAGACGGAGAGGCAAGUCUGGAGUGAAAACCCAGGGCUCAACCCUGGGACUGCUUUGGAAACUGCAAUUCUGGAGUGCCGGAGAGGUAAGCGGAAUUCCUAGUGUAGCGGUGAAAUGCGUAGAUAUUAGGAGGAACACCAGUGGCGAAGGCGGCUUACUGGACGGUGACUGACGUUGAGGCUCGAAAGCGUGGGGAGCAAACAG